GGUUUUAUGGAGACAGGCGUGGAGACAGGCGUUGGUCUUGUAAACCAAAGAUCAUGGGUUCAAUUCCCAUCCAUACCU
This 78-nucleotide transfer RNA is filed under the name Pleuronectes platessa (European plaice). Its description in RNAcentral is "tRNA-Thr". The stretch from base 16 to 78 matches the Rfam family "tRNA". From Rfam's summary of the family: Transfer RNA (tRNA) molecules are approximately 80 nucleotides in length. Their secondary structure includes four short double-helical elements and three loops (D, anti-codon, and T loops). The record is from RNAcentral. Lineage: Eukaryota; Metazoa; Chordata; Actinopteri; Pleuronectiformes; Pleuronectidae.